UUGCAUGUGGCUAUUUCUGCUUUUCAUUCCUUUGGGAGCACAAUGUAUUCUUAGCAUGCUGCAUUUAAAAAAGGAGUUUGCAAAGCUAGAGACUGAAUAGUGGUAUAUUUCUUCUACAAAA
Erinaceus europaeus (western European hedgehog) is the source of this 121-nucleotide small nucleolar RNA. The record is from Ensembl. NCBI's taxonomy places the organism in Eukaryota, Metazoa, Chordata, Mammalia, Eulipotyphla, Erinaceidae.